AUUGAACGCUGGCGGAAUGCUUUACACAUGCAAGUCGAACGGUAGAGGGGGCAACCCCUCGAGAGUGGCGAACGGGUGAGUAAUAUAUCGGAACGUGCCCAGUCGUGGGGGAUAACGUAGCGAAAGUUACGCUAAUACCGCAUACGAUCUAAGGAUGAAAGCGGGGGAUCGCAAGACCUCGCGCGAUUGGAGCGGCCGAUAUCAGAUUAGGUAGUUGGUGGGGUAAAGGCUCACCAAGCCAACGAUCUGUAGCUGGUCUGAGAGGACGACCAGCCUCACUGGAACUGAGACACGGCCCAGACUCCUACGGGAGGCAGCAGUGGGGAAUUUUGGACAAUGGACGCAAGUCUGAUCCAGCCAUUCCGCGUGCAGGAUGAAGGCCCUCGGGUUGUAAACUGCUUUUGUACGGAACGAAAAGGUCUCUCUUAAUACGGGGGACUCAUGACGGUACCGUAAGAAUAAGCACCGGCUAACUACGUGCCAGCCGCCGCGGUAA
RNAcentral lists this ribosomal RNA (496 nucleotides) under uncultured bacterium. RNAcentral's name for it is "partial 16S ribosomal RNA". It matches the Rfam family "Bacterial small subunit ribosomal RNA", at positions 30 to 523 of the family's 1533-position model. The record is from RNAcentral.